GACGAACGCUGGCGGCGUGCUUAACACAUGCCAGUCGAGCGGAAAGGCCCUGCUUUUGUGGGGUGCUCGAGUGGCGAACGGGUGAGUAACACGUGAGUAACCUGCCCUUGACUUUGGGAUAACUUCAGGAAACUGGGGCUAAUACCGGAUAGGAGCUCCUGCUGCAUGGUGGGGGUUGGAAAGUUUCGGCGGUUGGGGCUGGACUGGCGGCUUAUCAGCUUGUUGGUGGGGUAGUGGCUUACCAAGGCUUUGACGGGUAGCCGGCCUGAGAGGGUGACCGGGCACCUUGGGACUGAGAUAGGGCGCAGAAUCCUACGGGCGGCAGGAGGGGGAAAUAUUGCACAAUGGGCGGAAGCGUGAUGCAGCAACGCCGCGUGCGGAAUGACGGGCUUCGGGUUGUAAACCGCUUUCGCCUGUGACGAAGCGUGAGUGACGGUAAUGGGUAAAGAAGCAACGGCUAACUACGUG
RNAcentral lists this ribosomal RNA (468 nucleotides) under uncultured bacterium. Its description in RNAcentral is "partial 16S ribosomal RNA". It matches the Rfam family "Bacterial small subunit ribosomal RNA", at positions 28 to 507 of the family's 1533-position model. The record is from RNAcentral.